This 68-nucleotide transfer RNA is filed under the name Marmota monax (woodchuck). RNAcentral describes it as "tRNA.Thr". The record is from RNAcentral. Lineage: Eukaryota; Metazoa; Chordata; Mammalia; Rodentia; Sciuridae.
GGAUUGUGGCUCAGUGGGAGAGCGCUCGCCUAGUACAUGCGGGGCCCUGGGUUCUAUCCUCAGCACCA